UCUGAGAGUGGCAGAAAAGUGCAAUGAACUUAAAAUUCACUCAUAAACAAAAUUUCCUUAGAA
Molecule: transfer RNA, 63 nt
Filed under: Pochazia shantungensis
Lineage: Eukaryota; Metazoa; Arthropoda; Insecta; Hemiptera; Ricaniidae
Description: tRNA-Leu
Source: RNAcentral